This 31-nucleotide non-coding RNA is filed under the name Mus musculus (house mouse). Lineage: Eukaryota; Metazoa; Chordata; Mammalia; Rodentia; Muridae. The record is from RNAcentral.
UCCUACUGCGUGCAUGCGAUGAGGAAACCUC